RNAcentral lists this unclassified non-coding RNA (263 nucleotides) under plant metagenome. RNAcentral describes it as "partial contains small subunit ribosomal RNA, internal transcribed spacer 1, and 5.8S ribosomal RNA". The record is from RNAcentral.
UUUCCGUAGGUGAACCUGCGGAAGGAUCAUUAUUGUAUAACCGAGGUGCGAGGGUUGUCGCUGACCCGAAAGGGCGUGCACGCCCGAGUGCCCUCACACGCUUCCAUCUCACCCCUAUGUGCACCACCGCGUGGGUCCCCCUUUGGCUUGUUCGGAGGGGGGCUUACGUUUUCACACAAACUUUGUAUGCAGUGUAGAAUGUAUUUUUUGUUUUUGCGAUCACGCAAUCAAUACAACUUUCAACAACGGAUCUCUUGGCUCUC